UUAAAAUUAGUUAAACUAUAACACUAUUAUUACGAGAUAGAGUUCCUAAAAAGGAUUUUAAU
Molecule: transfer RNA, 62 nt
Filed under: Styela clava
Lineage: Eukaryota; Metazoa; Chordata; Ascidiacea; Stolidobranchia; Styelidae
Description: transfer RNA-Val
Source: RNAcentral